Zootermopsis nevadensis is the source of this 488-nucleotide non-coding RNA. NCBI's taxonomy places the organism in Eukaryota, Metazoa, Arthropoda, Insecta, Blattodea, Termopsidae. The record is from RefSeq and is a predicted model, not a curated record.
GUUUUGCUCUAAUUGGACUUCCAACACUAACGAAACUUGGGGUCGCAGAUACGUCAUGUUAUCUUAAUAGGGAUUUUCAAGAAACUGAAUACCACCAUUGCCACCGCCUUACCUAGGGGGCAGAGUUAAUUGGUGUCAUUUGAAUUGGAUUUCCAACAUCGCCGAAACGCUGGGUCGCAGAUACAUCAUCUUAAUAGGAUUUCCAACAGAGCCAAAACGCGGGGUCGCAGAUACAUCAUCUUAUCUUAAUAGGGAUUUUCAAGAACCUGAAUACGACCAUUGCCACAGCCGUACCUAGGGGGCAGAGUUAAUUGGUGUCAUUUGAAUUGGAUUUUCGAUGUCUGUCCACCGCCGUCGGUUUCAUUUCUCUUUAAUUGGACUUCCAACUUGGGGUCGCAGAUACAUCAUUUAAUGUUAAUAGGGAUUUUCAACAACCUGAAUACCACCAUUGCCACAGCCAUACCUAGGGGGCAGAGUUAAUUGAUGUC